UACGUAUGGUGCAAGCGUUAUCCGGAAUGACUGGGUGUAAAGGGAGCGUAGACGGUUGUACAAGUCUGAUGUGAAAGCCCACGGCUCAACUGUGGGAGUGCAUUGGAAACUGUAGAACUAGAGUAUCGGAGAGGCAAGUGGAAUUCCUAGUGUAGCGGUGAAAUGCGUAGAUGUUAGGAGGAACACCAGUGGCGAAGGCGGCUUGCUGGACGAAAACUGACGUUGAGGCUCGAAAGCGUGGGGAGCAAACAGG
RNAcentral lists this ribosomal RNA (253 nucleotides) under uncultured bacterium. RNAcentral describes it as "partial 16S ribosomal RNA". It matches the Rfam family "Bacterial small subunit ribosomal RNA", at positions 524 to 776 of the family's 1533-position model. The record is from RNAcentral.